This 1108-nucleotide ribosomal RNA is filed under the name uncultured bacterium. RNAcentral's name for it is "bacterial SSU rRNA". It matches the Rfam family "Bacterial small subunit ribosomal RNA", at positions 325 to 1450 of the family's 1533-position model. The record is from RNAcentral.
AACGGCCCAAACUCCUACGGGAGGCAGCAGUAGGGAAUUUUCGGCAAUGGGGGGAACCCUGACCGAGCAACGCCGCGUGAACGACGAAGUACUUCGGUAUGUAAAGUUCUUUUAUAUGGGAAGAAAAAGCAAUUAUUGACGGUACCAUAUGAAUAAGCCCCGGCUAACUAUGUGCCAGCAGCCGCGGUAAUACAUAGGGGGCGAGCGUUAUCCGGAUUUACUGGGCGUAAAGGGUGCGUAGGUGGUUAUUCAAGUCUGUGGUGUAAGUGCAGUGCUUAACGCUGUGAGGCUAUGGAAACUGAAUAACUAGAGUGAGACAGAGGCAAGUGGAAUUCCAUGUGUAGCGGUAAAAUGCGUAAAUAUAUGGAGGAACACCAGUGGCGAAGGCGGCUUGCUGGGUCUAUACUGACACUGAUGCACGAAAGCGUGGGGAGCAAACAGGAUUAGAUACCCUGGUAGUCCACGCCGUAAACGAUGAGAACUAAGUGUUGGCCAAAAGGUCAGUGCUGCAGUUAACGCAUUAAGUUCUCCGCCUGAGUAGUACGUACGCAAGUAUGAAACUCAAAGGAAUUGACGGGACCCCGCACAAGCGGUGGAUCAUGUUGUUUAAUUCGAAGAUACACGAAAAACCUUACCAGGUCUUGACAUACUCUGCAAAGGCUUAGAAAUAAGUUCGGAGGCUAACAGAUGUACAGGUGGUGCACGGUUGUCGUCAGCUCGUGUCGUGAGAUGUUGGGUUAAGUCCCGCAACGAGCGCAACCCUUAUUGCUAGUUACCAUCAUUAAGUUGGGGACUCUAGCGAGACUGCCAGUGAUAAAUUGGAGGAAGGUGGGGAUGACGUCAAAUCAUCAUGCCCCUUAUGACCUGGGCUACAAACGUGAUACAAUGGCUGGAACAAAGAGAAGCGAGAGGGUGACCUGGAGCGAAACUCACAAAAACAGUCUCAGUUCGGAUUGAAGUCUGCAACUCGACUUCAUGAAGUUGGAAUCGCUAGUAAUCGCAAAUCAGCAUGUUGCGGUGAAUACGUUCUCGGGGUUUGUACACACCGCCCGUCAAACCACGAAAGUGGGCAAUACCCAACGCCGGUGGCCUAACCCGUAAGGGAGGG